RNAcentral lists this ribosomal RNA (926 nucleotides) under Minimedusa pubescens. RNAcentral's name for it is "LSU rRNA". It matches the Rfam family "Eukaryotic large subunit ribosomal RNA", at positions 33 to 968 of the family's 3401-position model. Lineage: Eukaryota; Fungi; Basidiomycota; Agaricomycetes; Cantharellales; Hydnaceae. The record is from RNAcentral.
CUUAAGCAUAUCAAUAAGCGGAGGAAAAGAAACUAACAAGGAUUCCCCUAGUAACGGCGAGUGAAGAGGGAAAAGCUCAAAUUUAAAAUCUGGUAGCCUUUGGUUAUCCGAGUUGUAAUCUAGAGAAGUAUUUUCCGCGUUGGACCAUGUACAAGUUUCCUGGAACGGAACGUCAUAGAGGGUGAGAAUCCCGUCCUUGACAUGGACUACCAGUGCUCUGUGAUAUACUCUCAAAGAGUCGAGUUGUUUGGGAAUGCAGCUCAAAAUGGGAGGUAAAUUCCUUCUAAAGCUAAAUAUUGGCGAGAGACCGAUAGCGAACAAGUACCGUGAGGGAAAGAUGAAAAGAACUUUGGAAAGAGAGUUAAACAGUACGUGAAAUUGUUAAAAGGGAAACGCUUGAAGUCAGUCACAUUUGUUUGGACUCAGCCUUACUUCGGUCUGGUGCAUUUCCUUAUAAAUGGGUCAGCGUCAAUGUUGCUUGGUGGAAAAAGGUAGAGGAAAUGUGGCUCUUUCGGGAGUGUUAUAGUCUUCUAUCAUAUACAUCAAAUGAUAUUGAGUGGUACAGCAUGCUUUUAGUGGUGCUUGUGCUGGCAUAAUGGCUUUAAGCGACCCGUCUUGAAACACGGACCAAGGAGUCUAACAUAUCUGCGAGUGUUUGAGUGGAAAACUCAAGCGCGUAAUGAAAGUGAUAGCUGGGAACCCCUCACGGGAGGCACCGGCGCCCCGAGUUGAUCUUCUGUGACGCAUCGGAGGUAGAGCAUAUAUGUUGGGACCCGAAAGAUGGUGAACUAUGCCUGAAUAGGGCGAAGCCAGAGGAAACUCUGGUGGAGGCUCGUAGCGAUUCUGACGUGCAAAUCGAUCGUCAAAUUUGGGUAUAGGGGCGAAAGACUAAUCGAACCAUCUAGUAGCUGGUUCCUGCCGAAUUU